CCUACGGGUUGCAGCAGUGGGGAAUAUUGCACAAUGGGGGAAACCCUGAUGCAGCCAUGCCGCGUGUAUGAAGAAGGCCCUAGAGUUGUAAAGUACUUUCAGUCGGGAGGAAGGCGUUGAUGCUAAUAUCAUCAACGAUUGACGUUACCGACAGAAGAAGCACCGGCUAACUCCGUGCCAGCAGCCGCGGUAAUACGGAGGGUGCAAGCGUUAAUCGGAAUUACUGGGCGUAAAGCGCACGCAGGCGGUUGAUUAAGUUAGAUGUGAAAUCCCCGGGCUUAACCUGGGAAUGGCAUCUAAGACUGGUCAGCUAGAGUCUUGUAGAGGGGGGUAGAAUUCCAUGUGUAGCGGUGAAAUGCGUAGAGAUGUGGAGGAAUACCGGUGGCGAAGGCGGCCCCCUGGACAAAGACUGACGCUCAGGUGCGAAAGCGUGGGGAGCAAACAGGAUUAGAUACCCGUGUAGUC
Molecule: ribosomal RNA, 465 nt
Filed under: uncultured bacterium
Lineage: Bacteria
Description: bacterial SSU rRNA
Rfam family: Bacterial small subunit ribosomal RNA
Source: RNAcentral